Molecule: long non-coding RNA, 1243 nt
Organism: Asterias rubens (European starfish)
Lineage: Eukaryota; Metazoa; Echinodermata; Asteroidea; Forcipulatida; Asteriidae
Exons: 3
Source: RefSeq, a predicted model, not a curated record
GGUGUGUGCGCACGCGCGGCCUGUAGCGCUCUUGCAAGACAAAAUGGCUGAAGGCUCAAGAAUUUCCUGUCACGUUCUUCAACAAUUUACAUGUAAUUAAGUCGACACAAUAACUACAAUAAUGAAAGAGUGAGGAGAACUGUGAUAAAGAACAGCUGCAUUUCCACUAAGCAUGUUUCUUACUGCCUGGGGAUCCUCAAUCAACCCUCAAUACGGGCCGGGAAGUCAUAAUCAAGAUGAGGUCUCAAAGAAAAGGAUCUCCAUUGCAACUACCCGUCGCCAAGUAGAUGUCCAAGACCAGCCUCUGAUGCAGGGGCUUCAAACUCCAGUAAAAGGUUAACACUCAGAAAACACAUUUUUAAUAUUAACACCGGUCCAUUAAGAUCGGGAAUAAUUGUGCAGAAAUUAUGUGGUUCUUGUUUGUACAGAAUUUAAAAUAAGUUUGAUGUCUUGAUUUGAAUUGACAGGCUAGGUUGUGUUUUUAUGUCAAGCUUUUUCAAGCUUCCAAAAGGUGCAUCAAUCAUUGUAAUACAUUUUAAGAUUGGUUUAACAAUUUAGUUCAAGCAUAAUUCCUCCCAAGAGUAGUUGGUGGAAAGGAGGUAAAACAAAGUACUUGUUUCUCAAAUUUCCUCAAAGAGUACUACAACCUACUGUUAACAUAAAAACAGAUGAGUAAUGGUUUGAAAAUUAAUCAGGAACACAUUGAUCACUUAUCACACUAAAACCAAACCCUGAUAUCAAUGGGGAGAAGGUCAUAGAUCCUCUGCAAGAGAUUCUGCACUGAAACAACAAUUGUUUGCUUGCAAUUGCAUAUGAACUAUCUGUUUGCUUAUUCUUUCCUUGCUAGUAUUUCCCUCAACCAACCAAGUAUGGAGGGAGUCACCCCCUACUGACAUCUUGAAGGCUGCCGGGUACAAAGGAAAGCAACACGUAUGAAACAUCAGUAUCAUCAAGGCAUCCUAGCUGUUCAUCUGUGUAAGAACCCAGCAAUUUGUUAUCAUCAAUUGUAAGAAAUUUAUUGUAGAUAUUAUCGUAGUUUGAUUUUCUAUGUUUUUCUAAUUGGUGUUUAGUGGACUGUUGCUGCAAUACUGUACAGUUUGGUUGUGAAAUAGACAAAUUGUAAACCUAUUUUGGACCGAAAUUACUAGAUUGAGGUUACUUUUUUAUACACCUGAACAAGUAAAACACCCUAGUAAUGAAAAACAUUACAUUUUUCAUUUGAAUCUGUGGUGAUUCAUCAAUA